RNAcentral lists this ribosomal RNA (586 nucleotides) under uncultured organism. Its description in RNAcentral is "eukaryotic LSU rRNA". The stretch from base 211 to 364 matches the Rfam family "5.8S ribosomal RNA". The record is from RNAcentral.
AAUUCACUAGUGAUUUCCGUAGGUGAACCUGCGGAGGGAUCAUUACACAAAUAUGAAGGCGGGCUGGAACCUCUCGGGGUUACAGCCUUGCUGAAUUAUUCACCCUUGUCUUUUGCGUACUUCUUGUUUCCUUGGUGGGUUCGCCCACCACUAGGACAAACAUAAACCUUUUGUAAUUGCAAUCAGCGUCAGUAACAAAUUAAUAAUUACAACUUUCAACAACGGAUCUCUUGGUUCUGGCAUCGAUGAAGAACGCAGCGAAAUGCGAUAAGUAGUGUGAAUUGCAGAAUUCAGUGAAUCAUCGAAUCUUUGAACGCACAUUGCGCCCUUUGGUAUUCCAAAGGGCAUGCCUGUUCGAGCGUCAUUUGUACCCUCAAGCUUUGCUUGGUGUUGGGCGUCUUGUCUCUAGCUUUGCUGGAGACUCGCCUUAAAGUAAUUGGCAGCCGGCCUACUGGUUUCGGAGCGCAGCACAAGUCGCACUCUCUAUCAGCAAAGGUCUAGCAUCCAUUAAGCCUUUUUUUCAACUUUUGACCUCGGAUCAGGUAGGGAUACCCGCUGAACUUAAGCAUAUCAAUAAGCGGAGGAA